Rosa chinensis is the source of this 1571-nucleotide long non-coding RNA. RefSeq lists it as uncharacterized. The record is from RefSeq and is a predicted model, not a curated record. The transcript has 5 exons. NCBI's taxonomy places the organism in Eukaryota, Viridiplantae, Streptophyta, Magnoliopsida, Rosales, Rosaceae.
UUUUUUUAACUCUUCAUACUUAAUCCCAAUUUACCCAAAUCGAAGAUAGGGUUCUGGGUGUGAUGAAGGCCAUUUCUCCUCUCUCUCUCUUUGCGACACGGCCACACGGGCCAUCUAUUAUCAGCCUUUCUCUGACUCCGAGUCGCCGGUGACGCCGUGACAAUGGUGACAUUGCUGAUUUGCUGCCUUGCUAGAAAGACCAAGAGUUUGAGAGGACAGGUUGCUGACACAAGGGCAAGAAAUAUUGCUCAAAUAUAGUUUCUGUACAGGUUGCUUUUUCUCUUUCGUUUGUGUUGUAUUGGUCAUGUUUGUUGUAUAUGUGAAUUUGUUACCUUAAAAAGAUUAAUGUUAAAAAUUGUAUGUUGUGAUUUAGUUACAGUGCAAGCACAGAAAAAGACUGCUCCAGACAUGCAAUGCAAGGACAAUGUUAUGGAUUCUGAUGUGUGUGGGUUCUUUAUGUCAGAUGCUAUUCAUUUGGGGGAUUAGGAUUGUGUUUAGUUCAAUGAAGAGGCAGGACAUGUGGUUGAGGAGUGCAAAUUCAGAGUGUUAUAUGUUUCUCCACCUCAGCCCCCUUCUUCAGUCCCAGAAAGGUCGGAGGAAGGGUCUUCACCAAGAGCUUCAAUAGUGGAGAAUGAAAAUCUUAAUGGUGCUGAGUUUUCCAAUGCUGCAAAAGGACUUUUGGAGCAGCUUGAAUCUCUGGAGAGAUCCGCAGAGGUCAAAUAUCUGUUGCUUUGAACCAUAGGAGAGAGGGUGUACUUUUUGAAUUUUAAAGAAACGGAAGCCCAUAAGGAUGACAAGAACCUAACACUCUCCCAAAGCUCAUUAACCCACACUUGCAUCAAUAGAUUCAAAAUCUGAUGAUUUCAAGGGGGACCUUAUUAAGUCAUCAAUUUCAUUAUUUCAAGCAACAAAUUCAGAUGAGGUAUUACUUGCAUAUGAAAUGAAUGGAGAGGUAAAUUAUGAACAGCUUUGCGUUACAUGGUCUUCAAUUAUCAGAUCAUAUUUCUUCUGAUUUUUUUAUGUUAAAGCCUCUAAACAGGGAUCAUGGCUAUCAUAUGCAUACAAUUUUUCCUAAAUGUAACACGUCAAUCAAUUUUUACAGAUGAAGUAAUUGCUGUUCACUUUCAAUUUGAUGGCCUAACAGAUCAUGAACUUGGAUCCUGGAGAACCAGCAACAGCUUAUAAAAAAGAUUUGCAGGGAGAAUUGGAAAACCCAUCUUUAAAAAGCACAUUUUGGCCAAGUUUGUCGUGGUGGUUUUGUUCUAAAAACAAUGAUCCAGGUUUGAAGACUGCUUAUAAACUGGACCCAGAAGAUGGAGCAGUGACGAAAGCUUUUGAAGUGAUAGAGAGAAAUUUGUUUAGCUAGAAGUUGUACUGAGGCUAGAAGUUGGUCUUUUUUGGGUUGGCCUUAAUUGCAGUUCUCCUAUAGAUUUCUGAAUGUAUUUUGCUAUAAGAGUUUCAAAGAUGUGAUCCCUUAUUUUAUGGAUACAAUUAGCAUUAUCGGAUCCAUUUAGAUUGCUAUGGGAUUAUAACAGCUUUCUAUUAUGAUUAAAUUACCAUUCUUUUGGUCA